This 404-nucleotide ribosomal RNA is filed under the name Actinomycetes bacterium. RNAcentral's name for it is "Actinobacteria bacterium partial 16S ribosomal RNA". It matches the Rfam family "Bacterial small subunit ribosomal RNA", at positions 355 to 776 of the family's 1533-position model. Lineage: Bacteria; Bacillati; Actinomycetota; Actinomycetes. The record is from RNAcentral.
UGGGGAAUAUUGGACAAUGGGCGCAAGCCUGAUCCAGCCAUGCCGCGUGAGUGAUGAAGGCCCUAGGGUUGUAAAGCUCUUUCACCGGUGAAGAUAAUGACGGUAACCGGAGAAGAAGCCCCGGCUAACUUCGUGCCAGCAGCCGCGGUAAUACGAAGGGGGCUAGCGUUGUUCUGAUUUACUGGGCGUAAAGCGCACGUAGGCGGACUAUUAAGUCAGGGGUGAAAUCCCGGGGCUCAACCCCGGAACUGCCUUUGAUACUGGUAGUCUUGAGUUCGAGAGAGGUGAGUGGAAUUCCGAGUGUAGAGGUGAAAUUCGUAGAUAUUCGGAGGAACACCAGUGGCGAAGGCGGCUCACUGGCUCGAUACUGACGCUGAGGUGCGAAAGCGUGGGGAGCAAACAGG